AUUUCAUCAGCAAUGUACACUAAAAUUGGAGCCAUAGAGAGAAGAUUAAUGUGGUCUCUGCUCAAAGAUGAAUGUCACAGGUGUGGUGGCGCACACCUGC
This 100-nucleotide small nuclear RNA is filed under the name Chinchilla lanigera (long-tailed chinchilla). The record is from RNAcentral. Lineage: Eukaryota; Metazoa; Chordata; Mammalia; Rodentia; Chinchillidae.